Molecule: long non-coding RNA, 453 nt
Organism: Hibiscus syriacus
Lineage: Eukaryota; Viridiplantae; Streptophyta; Magnoliopsida; Malvales; Malvaceae
Exons: 3
Source: RefSeq, a predicted model, not a curated record
UCUUCUAGCUCCUUUUUUUCUUCUAUCAACCCUGGUUCUUUCUCAGGCCAGGUAUAGUUGAAAUUUUUACUUUUUUAUUUCCAUAAUCAUGUUCAAUUCAUUGUGGGUAAAGCUAGGCCACCCCUAAUCUUAGUUUUGACGUUCGCGAACGGUAAUGGGGGCUCUCCUUCAACGUUCUUCCAGCACAUUUUUUUCUUCUCUCAACUCUGUUUCUUUCUCAGGCCAGGUUUGCCUCAAAGAGAAUUUGGUGCAUUGAUCAGAUGCUCAAGGUUCUUUCUGAGGUCCUUCAUUUAUUGAAGAGUGGACUUGGUAAAAAUUCUAAACAUCUCACGGUUAGUUCUGAUUGAACGUAUCCUUUGGGGCUUCUUCAACUUAAUGCAAUGCGCUAGCUGAUAUCUUCUCUAACGAUUUAAACUUUCGAUCGUACAUCACUGUGAACCUUCGUUUCCUUGU